GUUAUAAAUAUGCGACGCAUGUUGCCAAUUUGAUCAUUGUGCACGCAAUACGUUCUUGAUAUCAGUUCUUUUUCACCAAAACAUAAAUACUUUCAACGGAUCAAUUUUGACAACAUCAUCGAGCAAACAAGUAAUCAUGACUAAAUUGGUAAUAUUACUCGCACUCGUUUGUUUACUCGGAAUGGGCGUUCAGUCGAUGAAUAUACCCGGCGCAGAAUUGUCUGCUCAACCCGAUCAACCUUUGACAUUGACUGGUCGUGGAUUCGGUUGCAAUGGUCCUUGGGACCAUAAUGAAUAUAAGUGCAAUUCGCACUGCAAAUCGAACAAG
This is a long non-coding RNA of Bradysia coprophila, 328 nucleotides long. The record is from RefSeq and is a predicted model, not a curated record. Lineage: Eukaryota; Metazoa; Arthropoda; Insecta; Diptera; Sciaridae.